GACGUAGGGCGCGAGCGUUGUCCGGAUUUAUUGGGCGUAAAGAGCUCGUAGGCGGCUUGUCGCGUCGUCCGUGAAAACCCACAGCUCAACUGUGGGCUUGCGGUCGAUACGGGCAGGCUAGAGUUCGGUAGGGGAGACUGGAAUUCCUGGUGUAGCGGUGGAAUGCGCAGAUAUCAGGAGGAACACCGGUGGCGAAGGCGGGUCUCUGGGCAGUAACUGACGCUGAGGAGCGAAAGCCAGGGGAGCAAACGGG
This 253-nucleotide ribosomal RNA is filed under the name uncultured bacterium. Its description in RNAcentral is "partial 16S ribosomal RNA". It matches the Rfam family "Bacterial small subunit ribosomal RNA", at positions 524 to 776 of the family's 1533-position model. The record is from RNAcentral.